RNAcentral lists this ribosomal RNA (563 nucleotides) under uncultured Pseudomonadota bacterium. RNAcentral's name for it is "bacterial SSU rRNA". It matches the Rfam family "Bacterial small subunit ribosomal RNA", at positions 341 to 896 of the family's 1533-position model. The record is from RNAcentral. Lineage: Bacteria; Pseudomonadati; Pseudomonadota.
ACGGGAGGCAGCAGUGGGGAAUUUUGGACAAUGGGGCAACCCUGAUCCAGCCAUGCCGCGUGAGUGAAGAAGGCCUUCGGGUUGUAAAGCUCUUUCGGCGGGGAAGAAAUCGCUUGGAUUAAUACUCUGAGUGGAUGACGGUACCCGAAUAAGAAGCACCGGCUAACUACGUGCCAGCAGCCGCGGUAAUACGUAGGGUGCGAGCGUUAAUCGGAACUACUGGGCGUAAAGCGUGCGCAGGCGGUUGUGCAAGACAGGCGUGAAAUCCCCGGGCUUAACCUGGGAACUGCGCUUGUGACUGCACGGCUAGAGUACGGCAGAGGGGGGUGGAAUUCCACGUGUAGCAGUGAAAUGCGUAGAGAUGUGGAGGAACACCGAUGGCGAAGGCAGCCCCCUGGGCCAGUACUGACGCUCAUGCACGAAAGCGUGGGGAGCAAACAGGAUUAGAUACCCUGGUAGUCCACGCCCUAAACGAUGUCAACUAGUUGUUGGUAGGGUAAAACCUAUUAGUAACGAAGCUAACGCGCGAAGUUGACCGCCUGGGGAGUACGGCCGCAAGGUUA